UACGAAGGGGGCUAGCGUUGCUCGGAAUCACUGGGCGUAAAGGGUGCGUAGGCGGGUCUUUAAGUCAGGGGUGAAAUCCUGGAGCUCAACUCCAGAACUGCCUUUGAUACUGAAGAUCUUGAGUUCGGGAGAGGUGAGUGGAGCUGCGAGUGUAGAGGUGAAAUUCGUAGAUAUUCGCAAGAACACCAGUGGCGAAGGCGGCUCACUGGCCCGAUACUGACGCUGAGGCACGAAAGCGAGGGGAGCAAACAGG
This 253-nucleotide ribosomal RNA is filed under the name uncultured bacterium. RNAcentral describes it as "partial 16S ribosomal RNA". It matches the Rfam family "Bacterial small subunit ribosomal RNA", at positions 524 to 776 of the family's 1533-position model. The record is from RNAcentral.